CACGUAGGGCGCAAGCGUUGUCCGGAAUCAUUGGGCGGAAAGAGCUCGUAGGCGGUCUGUUGCGUCCGCUGUGAAAACUCGGGGCUUAACCCCGAGCCUGCAGUGGAUACGGGCAGACUAGAGGUAGGUAGGGGAGAAUGGAAUUCCCGGUGUAGCGGUGAAAUGCGCAGAUAUCGGGAGGAACACCGGUGGCGAAGGCGGUUCUCUGGGCCUUACCUGACGCUGAGGAGCGAAAGCGUGGGGAGCGAACAGG
RNAcentral lists this ribosomal RNA (253 nucleotides) under uncultured bacterium. RNAcentral describes it as "partial 16S ribosomal RNA". It matches the Rfam family "Bacterial small subunit ribosomal RNA", at positions 524 to 776 of the family's 1533-position model. The record is from RNAcentral.